AUUUCACUCCACCUUAUCUCCCCUCUUUGGCCGGCUCACUCUUCCUUUCUUUUCAUUUUUUUUUUCUCUCAUACACUCUUCUACUCUUACAUCCUCUCUCACCGACACUCCACACCACCACCAUUUCCACCAUCAUUUUCUGGCAAGAUCACCAAAAAAUUCUUGUGAACCCAUAAACACCUUCACAUCCUUUUUUUGAGGUUCUAGCUAAUCUCCUUGGAGCUUGGAGAAUUAGGCUUUUGUAGUUGCGAGGUCAAUACCCUUUCACUUUGGAUGACGCGUUCUUCCCUGCUGCCUAUAGGGGGAAGAGAUUCUUUGAUUAUGUGUGGGUGAGGCUGCUAUCCAUGGGGCCAAAAGACCACAUGCAAGAGAGGUCUUAUUUGACACGCUCUUUCUGCUGCCCAUGGGGGGAGAGAAAAACCUUGAGGGUAUGGGUGAGGCUGCUGUCCAUGGGGCCAAGAGUCUGCAUACCAGAGAGGACAAUAUCAUGCCAGUUGUGAAUGAGUGGAUCCCCUGACUAGUAUAUGUGGUAUUGUGGUAUAUUUGUGAUAAUUUACCUUACAUUAGAUAUUAUGGCUUUGGAAAUUAUAUUGUUGGUGCUCACAGAUUCUAGUAUAUAGUUUCAAGGUAUUUACUUUGAGAAACUUUGUGUUUUAUUAUUCAAUCAUUCUUGCAAUAUCAUAUUACUAUUAUUGAAAA
This is a long non-coding RNA of Quercus robur (English oak), 699 nucleotides long. RefSeq lists it as uncharacterized. The transcript has 3 exons. The record is from RefSeq and is a predicted model, not a curated record. Lineage: Eukaryota; Viridiplantae; Streptophyta; Magnoliopsida; Fagales; Fagaceae.